Molecule: long non-coding RNA, 1622 nt
Filed under: Homo sapiens (human)
Lineage: Eukaryota; Metazoa; Chordata; Mammalia; Primates; Hominidae
Description: HSALNT0321894
Source: RNAcentral
AGAAUUAUUGAUCAAAUUUGGAUCUCUGUGUGCUGUCCUCCAAUUUAAUACUUUCUGUGUUGCUGUUUUAUUUUCUUUCUUCUGGAACCUGGCAAAGUGCGUCAAGCGAUGAGGCUUCCUCUUUGAAGAUCACAGGUGAGAAGAUUAGGUGCUUUCUCAGAAGCCCAGCAACCUGAUGGGAGUGUGGAGUGAGCAAGACCCAAAUCGGAGCUUCAUCCCUGCAUGGUUCAUUUUGCUUAUUUGGCAAACUUGCCCUGCAGGUGAAAACAUUGGAAUCUUGUGAACCUCAACCUGUGUUUUACAUAUGUAUACAUGAAGCAUCCAAUGGCAUUACACCUCAGCCAGAGAAGAAGCUCUUAAGAGAUCAGGUGCCUCAUUUCACCCAUGGGCUGCUCCAGCAUUUCCAGCCUCCUCACUCCUGACACAUACAGGCACGUGCUCUCUGUGGAGUCUUUGCACUUCUCCUUUCCUUCCUGAAAUGCUCUUCCCCUGGGUGUCUUCAUCCUACCUCCCUCAACUCUUUCAUCUUGUUUAAAAAAUGUCAUUUUCUCAGUGAGAACUUCCUUGUCUUAUUCAGUUUGGGCUUCUCUAAUAAAAAUACUAUAGACUGAGUGGCUUAAACAGCAGAAAUUUAUUUCCCACAGUUCUAGAGGCUGAGAAGUCUGAGAUCAGGGUACCAGCCUGGUUGGAUUCUCAGUUUAGAGACAGCUAUCUUCUCAUUGUAUCUCACCUGGUGGAGAGCAGAGAGGGAGGAAGCAAGCUCUCUCACGUCUCUUCUUAUAAGGACACUAAUCCCAUUCAUGAUGGCUCCAUCCUCAUGACCAAAGGCCUUGCCUCCAAAUAUCAUCACACUGGGGAUUUGGCUUCAACAUUUGAUUUUGGGGGUGGGAAACAAAAAAUUUAGUCCAUAGCAUUCCCAAGUGAUUUGUUUAAAUUUUCUACUUAAUCUCUUCUGUGCUUAAAUGUAUCUCCUUAGUAUUGUCCUUUAUCUAUUGCCAAUGUAACUCAUCUAUGUAUCUCUCUAUUUAUCACCUGUGUAUGUAUGUAUGUAUGUACUGUGAAUGUGUGUGUAUGUAUGUAGGUAUGUAUGUAUCUACCUGUCUAGUUUAUCUAACUUGCUUCAGAAACAGGAAACUCUUUGAAGAGCAGUGUUUUUUUCUUUUUAGUUGUUCAUUUAUGUAUAACCAUGGCACUAGAAAGUAAGAAGGCAAAAAGAUUCUUUGCAUAUACAUUUAUUGAAGUACAUACUAAUUGAAUAAAAGUAUUUUAUAUCUACCACCUUGGCCACCUAUAUGUUUUAAGGUCUACAGAAGGAAUUAAAAAAAUAUACAGUGCAACAAAAUCAUGGCUUUGACUUCUUAUUUCUUCUUCAUGGUAUGAAGUAUGUGAGGGGAAAGCCAUGGCAAUUGUUAGUCUUGUAAAUGGGAAUUGUGGCAUUUGAGAUCAAGGUUUACUUAUUUAAACAUGCUUUCUACAAUAAAAAUUAUGUUUCCAGACUCUUAUAAUUGUAUUUUCUGAAAAGAAAAGAGAGUGAUAAUAAUUCCUGUGGUCUUAACUCUGUUCUUUCAUUAGGUUAAAAAUUUUCUUUAAAUGUCCUAAGAAAAAAUUGGAUUCAAUUUUGG